GAUGAAGAACGUAGCGAAAUGCGAUAAGUAAUGUGAAUUGCAGAAUUCAGUGGAUCAUCGAAUCUUUGAACGCACAUUGCGCCCGCUAGUAUUCUGGCGGGCAUGCCUGUUCGAGCGUCAUUUCAACCAUCAAGCCCUGUUUAGGCUUGUGUUGGGGCCCUGCGGCUGCCGCAGCCCCCUAAAUGCAGUGGCGGGCUCGUUGUCACUCCGAGCGCAGUAGCGUAUCUCGCUCUGGGCGUGGCGGCGGGUGCUAGCCGUGAAACACCCACUAAGGUUGACCUCGGAUCAGGUAGGAAUACCCGCUGAACUUAAGCAUAUCAAUAAGCGGAGGA
RNAcentral lists this unclassified non-coding RNA (332 nucleotides) under soil metagenome. RNAcentral describes it as "partial contains 5.8S ribosomal RNA, internal transcribed spacer 2, and large subunit ribosomal RNA". The stretch from base 1 to 120 matches the Rfam family "5.8S ribosomal RNA", at positions 35 to 154 of the family's 154-position model. The record is from RNAcentral.